CGGCAUUGUGUAGUCCAUGGUAUCCACAA
This 29-nucleotide non-coding RNA is filed under the name Homo sapiens (human). The record is from RNAcentral. Lineage: Eukaryota; Metazoa; Chordata; Mammalia; Primates; Hominidae.